AGCCUUCGACGGGAAUCGAACCCGUGUCUUCUGCAUAAAAGCAGAUGUCUUUCCGACUCGACCACGAAGGC
Cordylochernes scorpioides is the source of this 71-nucleotide non-coding RNA. Lineage: Eukaryota; Metazoa; Arthropoda; Arachnida; Pseudoscorpiones; Chernetidae. The record is from the annotation of a GenBank genome assembly.